Molecule: ribosomal RNA, 143 nt
Filed under: uncultured bacterium
Lineage: Bacteria
Description: partial 16S ribosomal RNA
Rfam family: Bacterial small subunit ribosomal RNA
Source: RNAcentral
AAUGGGCUUACGCCUGAACCAGCCAAGUCGCGUGAGGGAAGACUGCCCUAUGGGUUGUAAACCUCUUUUGUCAGGGAGCAACAACAUCUACGAGUAGGUGUUACGAGAGUACCUGAAGAAAAAGCAUCGGCUAACUCCGUGCC